Molecule: microRNA precursor, 62 nt
Filed under: Podarcis lilfordi (Lilford's wall lizard)
Lineage: Eukaryota; Metazoa; Chordata; Lepidosauria; Squamata; Lacertidae
Source: RNAcentral
UGUGUGUGUGUGUGUGUGUGUGUGUACACACACACACACACACACACACGAACACACACACA